UGCUUGCCAGCAAGUAUGAACUGUCUUCUCGGACCAUCUGUUGGGCAUGUUCAGGAAUUGCAAAUGAGACCCAUCCUGAAGUGCUGGAGAGAAGCAGGGAAUCUAACACCUGUCUUGACUGAAGCUAAUGGCUGUGUCCAGGAGUAGUAUGGGCACAGAACAUCCUAAAAUUGAUUAAAACCAGGACUGAAACAGGGAAUUUUUUUAGGUUUUGAGUGCUUAAACUGGGACAUUUCUGAAGGACGGGGACUCCUGGUUCUCCUGUGCUGUGUUUGCCUGGCCCUUGCAGGAGCGCCCGGGGGCACCUACAGUGACGUGAGUUAAUCUGGUCUCAACCCCUCAGCUGCUGCUGCCACAGCGCAAUGCUCAGUGCCUGAGAAAGGAGGAGAAUGUCAUGGGCUCGCAGUGGGAACCCCCGACGGAAACCCCUGAAGCUGUAUUCAACAGGUCCUUUAACAUGCACUUACCCACUGAAGGAAAUGGGUGAUUUAGAAGAUUCGGAGCGGGACACAGAACUGGCACCUUGUGGUUCCUGAAGAAAUCUGGUACAAGAUUUGUUGUGUGAAGGAGUGCUUCGGCUCCUCCCAGGCUAGGAGAAGGAAAGCAGGCUCCCUGCAGAGGGAAUCGACCCUGGGAAG
RNAcentral lists this long non-coding RNA (638 nucleotides) under Struthio camelus australis. Its description in RNAcentral is "lncRNA (ENSSCUG00000001277.1)". Lineage: Eukaryota; Metazoa; Chordata; Aves; Struthioniformes; Struthionidae. The record is from RNAcentral.